RNAcentral lists this ribosomal RNA (472 nucleotides) under Acinetobacter baumannii. RNAcentral describes it as "bacterial LSU rRNA". It matches the Rfam family "Bacterial large subunit ribosomal RNA", at positions 1 to 503 of the family's 2925-position model. Lineage: Bacteria; Pseudomonadati; Pseudomonadota; Gammaproteobacteria; Moraxellales; Moraxellaceae. The record is from RNAcentral.
GGGUUGUGAGGUUAAGCGACUAAGCGUACACGGUGGAUGCCCUGGCAGUCAGAGGCGAUGAAGGACGUGCUAAUCUGCGAAAAGCGUCGGUAAGGUGAUAUGAACCGUUAUAACCGGCGAUGUCCGAAUGGGGAAACCCAGUGCAAUUCGUUGCACUAUCGUUAACUGAAUACAUAGGUUAACGAGGCGAACCGGGGGAACUGAAACAUCUAAGUACCCCGAGGAAAAGAAAUCAACCGAGAUUCCCCCAGUAGCGGCGAGCGAACGGGGAGCAGCCCAGAGUCUGAAUCAGCUUGUGUGUUAGUGGAACGGUCUGGAAAGUCCGACGGUACAGGGUGAUAGUCCCGUACACCAAAAUGCACAGGUUGUGAACUCGAAGAGUAGGGCGGGACACGUGGUAUCCUGUCUGAAUAUGGGGGGGCCAUCCUCCAAGGCUAAAUACUCCUGACUGACCGAUAGUGAACCAGUACCG